CCAAAGGCUCUUUUCAGAGCCCCCACCCACCUCCUAGGAAGAGCUA
Molecule: non-coding RNA, 46 nt
Organism: Myotis lucifugus (little brown bat)
Lineage: Eukaryota; Metazoa; Chordata; Mammalia; Chiroptera; Vespertilionidae
Source: Rfam